RNAcentral lists this ribosomal RNA (468 nucleotides) under uncultured bacterium. RNAcentral describes it as "partial 16S ribosomal RNA". It matches the Rfam family "Bacterial small subunit ribosomal RNA", at positions 28 to 507 of the family's 1533-position model. The record is from RNAcentral.
GACGAACGCUGGCGGCGUGCUUAACACAUGCAAGUCGAACGGAAAGGCCCUGCUUUUGUGGGGUGCUCGAGUGGCGAACGGGUGAGUAACACGUGAGUAACCUGCCCCUGACUUUGGGAUAACUUCAGGAAACUGGGGCUAAUACCGGAUAGGAGCUCCUGCUGCAUGGUGGGGGUUGGAAAGUUUCGGCGGUUGGGGAUGGACUCGCGGCUUAUCAGCUUGUUGGUGGGGUAGUGGCUUACCAAGGCUUUGACGGGUAGCCGGCCUGAGAGGGUGACCGGCCACAUUGGGACUGAGAUACGGCCCAGACUCCUACGGGAGGCAGCAGUGGGGAAUAUUGCACAAUGGGCGGAAGCCUGAUGCAGCAACGCCGCGUGCGGGAUGACGGCCUUCGGGUUGUAAACCGCUUUCGCCUGUAACGAAGCGUGAGUGACGGUAAUGGGUAAAGAAGCACCGGCUAACUACGUG